GACGAACGCUGGCGGCGUGCUUAACACAUGCAAGUCGAACGGAAAGGCCCUGCUUUUGUGGGGUGCUCGAGUGGCGAACGGGUGAGUAACACGUGAGUAACCUGCCCUUGACUUUGGGAUAACUUCAGGAAACUGGGGCUAAUACCGGAUAUGAGCUCCUGCUGCAUGGUGGUGGUUGGAAAGUUUCGGCGGUUGGGGAUGGACUCGCGGCUUAUCAGCUUGUUGGUGUGGUAGUGGCUUACCAAGGCUUUGACGGGUAGCCGGCCUGAGAGGGGGACCGGCCACAUUGGGACUGAGAUACGGACCAGAAUCCUACGGGAGGCAGCAGUGGGGAAUAUUGCAGAAUGGGCGGAAGCCUGAUGCAGCAACGCCGCGAGCGGGAUGACGGCCUUCGGGUUGUAAACCGCUUUCGCAUGUGACGAAGAGUGAGUGACGGUAAUGGGUAAAGAAGCACCGGCUAACUACGUG
RNAcentral lists this ribosomal RNA (468 nucleotides) under uncultured bacterium. RNAcentral's name for it is "partial 16S ribosomal RNA". It matches the Rfam family "Bacterial small subunit ribosomal RNA", at positions 28 to 507 of the family's 1533-position model. The record is from RNAcentral.